AAAGGGCCGCGGUAAUUUGACCGUGCGAAGGUAGCACAAUCACUUGCCUUUUAAUUGGGGGCUGGUAUGAAUGGCUGGAUGAGGGAUCAAGUGUCUUUAUACUAUAACUAAAAUUUUACUUUUAAGUGAAAAGGCUUAAAUUGCAUUAAGUGAAGAUAAGACCCUAUAAAACUUAUAUAUAAAUAAGUUGUAUUUUAUUUGAUAAGUAUAAAAUUAGAUGACUUAUAUUAUAUUUUGUUGGGGCGACAAGAAUAGAACUAGUAUCUGUUUCUUUAAUAAGUUAAUGAUAAUUAUGAUUUGAGCCUUUCUUAAGGAUCAAAAGAUUAAGUUACUUUAGGGAUAACAGCGUAAUUUUCUUUGAGAGAUCUAAUCGACAAGAGUAGUUGCGACCUCGAUGUUGAAUUAAAAUUUUCUAUCAAGUGCAGUAGCUUGGUUAGUAAGUCUGUUCGACUUUUAAAAUUUUACAUGAUUU
This 472-nucleotide ribosomal RNA is filed under the name Cuapetes elegans. Its description in RNAcentral is "partial 16S ribosomal RNA". It matches the Rfam family "Archaeal large subunit ribosomal RNA", at positions 2002 to 2675 of the family's 2987-position model. The record is from RNAcentral. Lineage: Eukaryota; Metazoa; Arthropoda; Malacostraca; Decapoda; Palaemonidae.